CGUAAGCCUCCUAUAGAACAGUUCAAGACUUCGAGCCUUCAGAGUGUUCUCUUCGGCUGUGAGCUAACAAGAGUGAAGCUAGUAGGCUCCCCCCGAAACUACAGGAGCUUCAUUUGGCUGAAAUUGGAAAAGGUUAAAACUUUUCGGAUAAAGGCGAAUGUAGAAGUUAUAUACCAACCAUCUGUAGAGAUAGCUAGGUAAAACUGAAAGACUAAAGUCUGCUAUUAAGAAAUAGUUCUAUCUUCGGGACAGCUGAAGAUAGUAUCGCAAGAUCUGACAAAAAUUGUAUUUAUUUAGGCUUAAAAGUAGCCUUAAGGUGUGAAAACUAUGACUUUUUGAUUAAAAAAGCAAUACAACGAGAAAGUAUGUUUUAGUAAUUAGGUUAGCAUGAGUAACUAAUGGAGCACUUAAGAUAGGAAAGAUGUCUACCUCAAAUCAAGUGUAAAAGAAGCGUUAGGGAACUGGGUAGAGGUUAGAAUGUUUACUAAAUGCUUGGCUAAGUGAUACUUAUACUUAGCCAAUUUUGGAUCUAUGAAAAUUUUUUAAUCUUUCCGAAAGGAUUUCUAGGCCCUUUUAAUUGGAGAGGCCAGAAGGAUAAACUGACCUUACCGUCCCUACGUUUUUAAGGGAAAUUACGAGUAUGAUAAAAAAGUUAUACAGUUUAAGAAAGACGAGAAGACCCCGGGUGGUUUAUUCAGAGAAAGCCGGGUUCAGUUUUCUAAGAAUUUUGCUGGGGUGGUACCUGUUGAAAGACAACACAAUGGAAAGUUAAGGUUGGAGAAAUCUAAAGUUACAAUAACUUGACGGAGGUCAAAAUAAAGAAUAACCAACCCCGGGGAUAACAGCGCUAUAGGCUAAGAAAGUCCAUAUUAAAUAGUCUGUUUACGACCUCGAUGUCGCCUUAGGAUUGCUCAGUGGUGCAGCUGCUACAAGAGUUUGUUUGCCACUCAAUUGAAAUCCUACGUGAGUUGGGUUGAGAGCGGGGAGACCUAGUUCGGUUUUUAUCUUCGUUACACAGUCUCUUUAGUACGAAAGGAAAAAUUGACCUAAAUUAUUUUU
RNAcentral lists this ribosomal RNA (1059 nucleotides) under Doliolum nationalis. Its description in RNAcentral is "large subunit ribosomal RNA". The stretch from base 666 to 1009 matches the Rfam family "Bacterial large subunit ribosomal RNA", at positions 2075 to 2645 of the family's 2925-position model. Lineage: Eukaryota; Metazoa; Chordata; Thaliacea; Doliolida; Doliolidae. The record is from RNAcentral.